Molecule: ribosomal RNA, 861 nt
Filed under: uncultured Chloroflexota bacterium
Lineage: Bacteria; Bacillati; Chloroflexota
Description: bacterial SSU rRNA
Rfam family: Bacterial small subunit ribosomal RNA
Source: RNAcentral
GAUGAACGCUGGCGGCGUGCCUAAUACAUGCAAGUCGAACGGAGAUUCUGUCGUAAUUCGUUACAGCGGAAAUCUCAGUGGCGAACGGGUGAGUAACGCGUUGGUGACCUGCCCCGGAGAGGGGGAUAACAGCUUGAAAAGGCUGCUAAUACCCCAGAUGUCUAGAGGGUUAGAAACCUCUAGACGAAAGGCUUCGGUUGCUUCGGGAGGGGCCUGCGUCCCAUCAGCUAGUUGGUAGGGUAAUGGCCUACCAAGGCGAAGACGGGUAGGGGACCUGAGAGGGUGACCCCCCACAAUGGAACUGAAACACGGUCCAUACACCUACGGGUGGCAGCAGUAGGGAAUAUUGCACAAUGGGCGAAAGCCUGAUGCAGCAACGCCGCGUGCGCGAAGAAGGCCUUCGGGUUGUAAAGCGCUUUUCGGGGAGAAGAGAAAGGACGGUAUCCCCGGAAUAAGGAUCGGCUAACUACGUGCCAGCAGCCGCGGUAAAACGUAGGAUCCGAGCGUUAUCCGAAUUCACUGGGCGUAAAGCGCGUGUAGGCGGUUCGGUAAGUUGGAUGUGAAAGCUCCCGGCUCAACUGGGAGAGGACGUUCAAAACUGUUGGACUAGAGGGCGGAAGAGGGAGGUGGAAUUCCCGGUGUAGUGGUGAAAUGCGUAGAUAUCGGGAGGAACACCAGUGGCGAAGGCGGCCUCCUGGGCCGCACCUGACGCUCGGACGCGAAAGCUAGGGUAGCAAACGGGAUUAGAAACCCCGGUAGUCCUAGCUGUAAACGAUGUAGACUUGGUGUUGGUGGGGUAAAAGCCAUCAGUGCCGGAGCAAACGCGAUAAGUCUACCGCCUGGGGACACGACCGCAAGGUU